This 448-nucleotide ribosomal RNA is filed under the name uncultured bacterium. RNAcentral describes it as "bacterial SSU rRNA". It matches the Rfam family "Bacterial small subunit ribosomal RNA", at positions 329 to 794 of the family's 1533-position model. The record is from RNAcentral.
AGCCAGACUCCUACGGGAGGCAGCAGUGGGGGAUAUUGCACAAUGGGGGAAACCCUGAUGCAGCGACGCCGCGUGGGUGAAGAAGCGCCUCGGCGCGUAAAGCCCUGUCAGCAGGGAAGAAAAUGACGGUACCUGAAGAAGAAGCCCCGGCUAACUACGUGCCAGCAGCCGCGGUAAUACGUAGGGGGCAAGCGUUAUCCGGAUUCACUGGGUGUAAAGGGAGCGUAGACGGCAGUGCAAGUCUGAAGUGAAGGGCGGGGGCCCAACCCCCGGACUGCUUUGGAAACUGUGCUGCUGGAGUGCAGGAGAGGCAAGUGGAAUUCCUAGUGUAGCGGUGAAAUGCGUAGAUAUUAGGAGGAACACCAGUGGCGAAGGCGGCUUGCUGGACUGUAACUGACGUUGAGGCUCGAAAGCGUGGGGAGCAAACAGGAUUAGAUACCCGCGUACC